UUUCCGGUUGAUCCUGCCGGACCUGACUGCUAUCGGAUUGAUACUAAGCCAUGCGAGUCUUUGUAGUAAUACAAGGCAGACGGCUCAGUAACACGUAGUCAACCUACCCUAUGGACAAGAAUAAUCUCGGGAAACUGGGCAUAAUUCUUGAUAGAUCAUAAUGCCUGGAAUGGUUUAUGGUUAAAAUGAUUCGUCGCCAUAGGAUGGGACUGCGGCCUAUCAGCUUGUUGGUGAGGUAAUGGCCCACCAAGGCGAUUACAGGUACGGGCUCUGAGAGGAGAAGCCCGGAGAUGGGUACUGAGACACGGACCCAGGCCCUAUGGGGCGCAGCAGGCGAGAAAACUUUGCAAUGUGCGAAAGCACGACAAGGUUAAUCCGAGUGAUUUCUGCUAAAGAAAUCUUUUGCCAGUCAUAAAACCACUGGUGAAUAAGGGGUGGGCAAGUUCUGGUGUCAGCCGCCGCGGUAAAACCAGCACCUCAAGUGGUCAGGAUGAUUAUUGGGCCUAAAGCAUCCGUAGCCGGCUUUGUAAGUUUUCGGUUAAAUCCAUGUGCUCAACGCAUGGGCUGCCGAAAAUACUGCAUGGCUAGGGAGUGGGAGAGGUAGACGGUACUCAGUAGGAAGGGGUAAAAUCCUUUGAUCUAUUGAUGACCACCUGUGGCGAAGGCGGUCUACCAGAACACGUUCGACGGUGAGGGAUGAAAGCUGGGGGAGCAAACCGGAUUAGAUACCCGGGUAGUCCCAGCUGUAAACGAUGCAGACUCGAUGAUGCAUUGGCAUAAUAGCCAGUGCAGUGUCGCAGGGAAGCCGUUAAGUCUGCCGCCUGGGAAGUACGUACGCAAGUAUGAAACUUAAAGGAAUUGGCGGGGGAGCACCACAAGGGGUGAAGCCUGCGGUUCAAUUGGAGUCAACGCCGGA
RNAcentral lists this ribosomal RNA (916 nucleotides) under uncultured archaeon. RNAcentral describes it as "SSU rRNA". It matches the Rfam family "Archaeal small subunit ribosomal RNA", at positions 1 to 922 of the family's 1478-position model. The record is from RNAcentral.